RNAcentral lists this ribosomal RNA (271 nucleotides) under uncultured bacterium. RNAcentral's name for it is "partial 16S ribosomal RNA". It matches the Rfam family "Bacterial small subunit ribosomal RNA", at positions 524 to 794 of the family's 1533-position model. The record is from RNAcentral.
UACGAAGGGUGCUAGCGUUGUUCGGAAUUACUGGGCGUAAAGCGCGCGUAGGCGGUCUAUCAAGUCAGAGGUGAAAGCCCUGGGCUCAACCCAGGAAUUGCCUUUGAAACUGUUAGACUUGAGUGUCGGAGGGGAUAGCGGAAUUCCUAAUGUAGAGGUGAAAUUCGUAGAUAUUAGGAGGAACACCGGUGGCGAAGGCGGCUAUCUGGACGACAACUGACGCUGAGGCGCGAAAGCGUGGGGAUCAAACAGGAUUAGAAACCCGGGUAGU